Molecule: ribosomal RNA, 686 nt
Filed under: Escherichia albertii
Lineage: Bacteria; Pseudomonadati; Pseudomonadota; Gammaproteobacteria; Enterobacterales; Enterobacteriaceae
Description: bacterial SSU rRNA
Rfam family: Bacterial small subunit ribosomal RNA
Source: RNAcentral
GCGUUAAGUCGACCGCCUGGGGAGUACGGCCGCAAGGUUAAAACUCAAAUGAAUUGACGGGGGCCCGCACAAGCGGUGGAGCAUGUGGUUUAAUUCGAUGCAACGCGAAGAACCUUACCUGGUCUUGACAUCCACGGAAGUUUUCAGAGAUGAGAAUGUGCCUUCGGGAACCGUGAGACAGGUGCUGCAUGGCUGUCGUCAGCUCGUGUUGUGAAAUGUUGGGUUAAGUCCCGCAACGAGCGCAACCCUUAUCCUUUGUUGCCAGCGGUUAGGCCGGGAACUCAAAGGAGACUGCCAGUGAUAAACUGGAGGAAGGUGGGGAUGACGUCAAGUCAUCAUGGCCCUUACGACCAGGGCUACACACGUGCUACAAUGGCGCAUACAAAGAGAAGCGACCUCGCGAGAGCAAGCGGACCUCAUAAAGUGCGUCGUAGUCCGGAUUGGAGUCUGCAACUCGACUCCAUGAAGUCGGAAUCGCUAGUAAUCGUGGAUCAGAAUGCCACGGUGAAUACGUUCCCGGGCCUUGUACACACCGCCCGUCACACCAUGGGAGUGGGUUGCAAAAGAAGUAGGUAGCUUAACCUUCGGGAGGGCGCUUACCACUUUGUGAUUCAUGACUGGGGUGAAGUCGUAACAAGGUAACCGUAGGGGAACCUGCGGUUGGAUCACCUCCUUACCUGAAAGAA